RNAcentral lists this long non-coding RNA (337 nucleotides) under Mytilus galloprovincialis (Mediterranean mussel). Lineage: Eukaryota; Metazoa; Mollusca; Bivalvia; Mytilida; Mytilidae. The record is from RNAcentral.
GGGGGUAACGUGACAAAUUUUGUUCUUCACUGGUUUGUUUUUUUGUAAUCUCUCACUGUCCGGCCUUUUUAUUUAUCACUCUCUUUGCUCCAUCCUUUUUAAUUAGCUUAUUCUGACUUUUUUUUUACAUAAACUGUCAUCCUGCCUUUUUUUGGGCUAAGUUGAUCGUUCUGCCUUUUUUCAAAUUUCAUCAUAGCAACACCCCCCCCCUUUUCCAACACACACACACACCCCUCUCGGAAAAAACCGACUGGUACCUCCGUAAAUUAUCAAUAGGUACAGGUACACAUGGCUUUAGAGAAAUCCUUAGCAUUGGUAUCUCAAAUAGAGGAAAGAC